GGGAAAGUAGCUCAGCAGUAGAGUGCAUGCCUUGCAAGCAUGAGGCCGUGGGUUCGAUUCCUCAUCACCA
Dipodomys ordii (Ord's kangaroo rat) is the source of this 70-nucleotide non-coding RNA. Lineage: Eukaryota; Metazoa; Chordata; Mammalia; Rodentia; Heteromyidae. The record is from Rfam.